GGUGAGGUGCGAGAGUGGUUGAAUCGGGCGGUCUCGAAAACCGUUGAGCCUUCAUGGGUUCCGUGGGUUCGAAUCCCACCCUCACCGCCA
Molecule: transfer RNA, 90 nt
Filed under: Bryobacterales bacterium
Lineage: Bacteria; Pseudomonadati; Acidobacteriota; Terriglobia; Bryobacterales
Also listed under: 1 other name
Description: tRNA-Ser
Rfam family: tRNA
About the family: Transfer RNA (tRNA) molecules are approximately 80 nucleotides in length. Their secondary structure includes four short double-helical elements and three loops (D, anti-codon, and T loops).
Source: RNAcentral